UACAGAGGGGGCAAGCGUUUGUUCGGAAUCACUGGGCGUAAAGCGCACGUAGGCGGAUGUGUCAGUCAGGGGUGAAAUCCCGGGGCUCAACCUCGGAACUGCCUUUGAUACAGCACGUCUUGAGUCCGAUAGAGGUGGGUGGAAUUCCUAGUGUAGAGGUGAAAUUCGUAGAUAUUAGGAAGAACACCGGUGGCGAAGGCGGCCCACUGGAUCGGUACUGACGCUGAGGUGCGAAAGCGUGGGGAGCAAACAGG
RNAcentral lists this ribosomal RNA (254 nucleotides) under uncultured bacterium. RNAcentral's name for it is "partial 16S ribosomal RNA". It matches the Rfam family "Bacterial small subunit ribosomal RNA", at positions 524 to 776 of the family's 1533-position model. The record is from RNAcentral.